Molecule: ribosomal RNA, 484 nt
Filed under: uncultured bacterium
Lineage: Bacteria
Description: partial 16S ribosomal RNA
Rfam family: Bacterial small subunit ribosomal RNA
Source: RNAcentral
AUUGAACGCUGGCGGCAGGCCUAACACAUGCAAGUCGAGCGGAUGAAGGGAGCUUGCUCCUGGAUUCAGCGGCGGGCGGGUGAGUAAUGCCUAGGAAUCUGCCUGGUAGUGGGGGAUAACGUCCGGAAACGGGCGCUAAUACCGCAUACGUCCUGAGGGAGAAAGUGGGGGAUCUUUGGACCUCACGCUAUCAGAUGAGCCUAGGUCGGAUUAGCUAGUUGGUGGGGUAAAGGCCUACCAAGGCGACGAUCCGUAACUGGUCUGAGAGGAUGAUCAGUCACACUGGAACUGAGACACGGUCCAGACUCCUACGGGAGGCAGCAGUGGGGAAUAUUGGACAAUGGGCGAAAGCCUGAUCCAGCCAUGCCGCGUGUGUGAAGAAGGUCUUCGGAUUGUAAAGCACUUUAAGUUGGGAGGAAGGGCAGUAAGUUAAUACCUUGCUGUUUUGACGUUACCAACAGAAUAAGCACCGGCUAACUUCGUG